RNAcentral lists this transfer RNA (66 nucleotides) under Gnathostoma nipponicum. RNAcentral's name for it is "tRNA-Pro". Lineage: Eukaryota; Metazoa; Nematoda; Chromadorea; Rhabditida; Gnathostomatidae. The record is from RNAcentral.
CAAUAGAUAGUUUAAUGAGGGAAAAUAUAAUAUUUGGGGUAUUAAGUAAUUUUCUAUUGAUAUCGA